CCUACGGGAGGCAGCAGUGCGGAAUAUUGGUCAAUGGACGAGAGUCUGAACCAGCAAAGUAGCGUGAAGGAUGACUGCCCUAUGGGUUGUCAACUUCUUUUAUAUGGGAAUAAAAUGUUCCACGUGUGGGAUUUUGUAUGUACCAUAUGAAUAAGGAUCGGCUAACUCCGUGCCAGCAGCCGCGGUAAUCCGGAGGAUCCGAGCGUUAUCCGGCUUUAUUGGGUUUAAAGGGAGAGUAGGUGGAUUGUUAAGUCAGUUGUGAAAGUUUGCGGCUCAACCGUAAAAUUGCAGUUGAAACUGGCAGUCUAGAGUACAGUAGAGGUAGGCGGAAUUCGUGGUGUAGCGGUGAAAUGCUGAGAUAGCACGAAGAACACCGAUUGCGAAGGCAGCUCACUGGACUGCAACUGACACUGAGGCUCGAAAGUGUGGGUAUCAAACAGGAUUAGAUACCCCAGUAGUC
Molecule: ribosomal RNA, 460 nt
Filed under: uncultured bacterium
Lineage: Bacteria
Description: partial 16S ribosomal RNA
Rfam family: Bacterial small subunit ribosomal RNA
Source: RNAcentral